CCAAAUAACUGCAUGGCCAUUGUGCAAAUUAAGAUAAGUUUGAUAUCUUCUCUUAGGCAACUCCCUACUAAACCAAUCAGAAAACAGAAUGCUCUUGGCAUAGUGAUGCUGUUCCCUUCCCUCAGAGAUCCAUAUUCCAAGAAAGGCUCCGCAAGUCAUUGCUUGCAUCGCACUUUCAUGUCAUACUUGCAAUGUUAUGACAGGCUGUUUCUAUGACAUUGAAAUUUGAUUCUUUGAGAUUUUAGCCUGAAUAUGACAAAGGAUAUUCAAAAAAAAUCUAUGAUGCUGCAAGCAACACAUGAUACAUUGCCUGGCGUAAUAAAAACAGUCCACAGGAAUAUGGAGUGAUGCCACCAGACAGCCCUCUUCCUCAACAGUCUACGGCCAGGAAAUGGCAUCCCUUCUUUUAAUCCCUUCCACCACUUCCAGGAGGACUGAAGUCUCCAAAAAUUGCAUGCGAUGCAGCUGAAAGCCAUGUAAUCUAUCAUAAGUUUGGAGAAGCACCUCAGCAACAACCAUCCGUUCCUCCUUUUUGUUGGACUUCAGAAAAGCAACAGCUUCUACAUCGCCUUGGAUAAGCAUCUCCUCCCAUGCCAGGCAAACUGCUUCCUUAUUAGAUAAACUUUUAAAGGCACAUUUUGUGUUCAGUUUGUCAUAUGAUAGUGCACUUGUAAACUUUUACACAUUUCUACACAUUUUUAUGAGCAUCUUCAUGCAUUCAGAGUACUACGAAGUGAGGAAAGGUGUAUUAUAAAAAUGUCAGAGAUUAAAUUUUGAGCCAUUUGAUAUUCAAAACUCAUAGUGUGGCGGAUGAAAGUUGUAUAUCAUUCCUUCUUUUGUAAUGUUUUAAUUCUACUUCAAAUUGCACUGCGAGGGAGAAUUAAAAAUAAACAUGUUGAUGGAAAUUAUGUUGUGUGUUGUAGUUGAUUUAACUAUGUUUUCAGUAUAUUUAACAGUGUUUUGUUGAUCUUUUAACCACCUAAAUUACAACCACCUAAAACAUGCAACUCUAAACAGUGUUGUUUUUCUGUAUCCCUUUUAGUGUUAUUUUAACACUUUUUUGGAGUCAAAUAAGGAACUCUGGCAUAGUGUUAAAUGUUGAACUAUUUUGAAAGUGUUAAUUUAACUCCAGAAAGUGUGGAGCUAUAUAAGCUCUGAAAAAGUGUCGAAAUCAACU
Onychostoma macrolepis is the source of this 1177-nucleotide long non-coding RNA. RefSeq lists it as uncharacterized. The transcript is spliced from 3 exons. The record is from RefSeq and is a predicted model, not a curated record. Lineage: Eukaryota; Metazoa; Chordata; Actinopteri; Cypriniformes; Cyprinidae.